Molecule: ribosomal RNA, 433 nt
Filed under: uncultured bacterium
Lineage: Bacteria
Description: partial 16S ribosomal RNA
Rfam family: Bacterial small subunit ribosomal RNA
Source: RNAcentral
AACGAACGCUGGCGGCAUGCCUAACACAUGCAAGUCGAACGAGACCUUCGGGUCUAGUGGCGCACGGGGGCGUAACGCGUGGGAACCUGCCCUUAGGUUCGGAAUAACUCCCCGAAAGGGGUGCUAAUACCGGAUAAUGUCUUCGGACCAAAGAUUUAUCGCCUGUGGAUGCGCCCGCGUUGGAUUAGCUAGUUGGUAGGGUAAAAGCCUACCAAGGCGACGAUCCAUAGCUGGUCUGAGAGGAUGAUCAGCCACACUGGGACUGAGACACGGCCCAGACUCCUACGGGAGGCAGCAGUGGGGAAUAUUGGACAAUGGGCGAAAGCCUGAUCCAGCAAUGCCGCGUGAGUGAUGAAGGCCUUAGGGUUGUAAAGCUCUUUUACCCGGGAUGAUAAUGACAGUACCGGGAGAAUAAGCUCCGGCUAACUCCGUG